UAAUCAUGGAGAGUUUGAUCCUGGCUCAGAACGAACGCUGGCGGCGCGUCUUAAGCAUGCAAGUCGAGCGGUAAGAUUGGUGCUUGCACUAAUCCUAGAGCGGCGGACUGGUGAGU
Molecule: ribosomal RNA, 116 nt
Filed under: Treponema bryantii
Lineage: Bacteria; Pseudomonadati; Spirochaetota; Spirochaetia; Treponematales; Treponemataceae
Description: 16S rRNA. Bacterial SSU
Rfam family: Bacterial small subunit ribosomal RNA
Source: RNAcentral